This 440-nucleotide ribosomal RNA is filed under the name uncultured bacterium. Its description in RNAcentral is "partial 16S ribosomal RNA". It matches the Rfam family "Bacterial small subunit ribosomal RNA", at positions 338 to 795 of the family's 1533-position model. The record is from RNAcentral.
CCUACGGGAGGCAGCAGUGGGGAAUAUUGCACAAUGGGGGAAACCCUGAUGCAGCGAAGCCGCGUGAGUGAAGACGUAUUUCGGUAUGUAAAGCUCUGUUAGCAGGGAAGAAAAUGACGGUACCUGACCAAGAAGCCCCGGCUAACUACGUGCCAGCAGCCGCGGUAAUACGUAGGGGGCCAGCGUUAUCCGGAUUUACUGGGUGUAAAGGGAGCGUAGACGGCAGGGCAAGUCUGGAGUGAAAGGCGGGGGCUCAACCCCCGGACUGCUCUGGAAACUGGCAGGCUGGAGUGCAGGAGAGGUAAGUGGAAUUCCUGGUGUAGCGGUGAAAUGCGUAGAUAUUAGGAGGAACACCAGUGGCGAAGGCGGCUUACUGGACUGUAACUGACGUUGAGGCUCGAAAGCGUGGGGAGCAAACAGGAUUAGAUACCCUAGUAGUC